GUGGGGAAUAUUCCGCAAUGGACGAAAGUCUGACGGAGCAACGCCGCGUGAGUGAUGAAGGUUUUCGGACUGUAAAGCUCUGUUGUUUAGGACGAAAGUGCCUGUUGCAAAUAGUUACAGGUAUUGACGGUACUGAACGAGGAAGCCACGGCUAACUACGUGCCAGCAGCCGCGGUAAUACGUAGGUGGCAAGCGUGGUCCGGAAUUAUUGGGCGUAAAGAGCAUGUAGGCGGGAAUCUAAGUCUGUUGUGAAAAUGCGGGGCUCAACCCCGUAUUGCGAUGGAAACUGGGUUUCUUGAGUGCAGGAGAGGAAAGGGGAAUUCCCAGUGUAGCGGUGAAAUGCGUAGAUAUUGGGAGGAACACCAGUGGCGAAGGCGCCUUUCUGGACUGUGUCUGACGCUGAGAUGCGAAAGCCAGGGUAGCGAACGGGAUUAGAUACCCGGGUAGUCC
RNAcentral lists this ribosomal RNA (450 nucleotides) under uncultured bacterium. Its description in RNAcentral is "partial 16S ribosomal RNA". It matches the Rfam family "Bacterial small subunit ribosomal RNA", at positions 354 to 796 of the family's 1533-position model. The record is from RNAcentral.